AAUCAACGCUGGCGGCGUGCCUCAGACAUGCAAGUCGAACGCGAAAGUCCCCUUCGGGGGACAAGUAGAGUGGCGCACGGGUGAGUAACACGUAGGUAAUCUACCUUCGGAUGGGGAAUAACAACCGGAAACGGUUGCUAAUACCGCAUAAUGCAGCGGCACCUAAUGGUGACAGUUGUUAAAGCGGGGGGUCGAAAGACCUCGCGUCUGAAGAGGAGCCUGCGGCGGAUUAGCUAGUUGGAAGGUAAUGGCUUACCAAGGCGACGAUCCGUAGCCGGCCUGAGAGGGCGGUCGGCCACACUGACACUGACAUACGGGUCAGACUCCUACGGGAGGCAGCAGUCGGGAAUUUUGGGCAAUGGGCGAAAGCCUGACCCAGCAACGCCGCGUGAAGGAUGAAAUCCCUCGGGAUGUAAACUUCG
This 422-nucleotide ribosomal RNA is filed under the name uncultured bacterium. Its description in RNAcentral is "bacterial SSU rRNA". It matches the Rfam family "Bacterial small subunit ribosomal RNA", at positions 32 to 434 of the family's 1533-position model. The record is from RNAcentral.